CAAGACGUGGCAAAUGCAUGCAUUACUAGAGAAGAGAUGAAGGAAUACAGUUUCCAAAGGGUUAAGAAGCACAAUAGAAAUAUAGAAAACUAUACAAUCGAGUCAACGAUUUACCAGAACACAAAACCAUCAAAGGGCAGGAGGACAUGAGUUUGAGAGAGGAGUUCACCUUGGAAUUGGACCGAGGAAAUUUGCAUCUUCUCCUUCAUCCCUUUUGCAUGUUCAAAACCUCACGGAAAUGCUUCCUCGCAUUUUUCCUACUGAUCACCAGCCAUUACUGCAUGAGAUUGAAUGAUCUGCGUAGCUCACUCGGUUAAGCGUUUCUUCAGUUCAACCAAUGCGUCUCUCAAGUACUCGAGCUCAGACAAGUUGAGGUUGUCAAUGGGGGCUUCCCACCAUAGAAUAUUCUCAUGGUUAUCCCCUAACCUUUCUAGUUCUUCGCUCUUUUUCUUCUCCUCCUGAAGCUAGAUAAGAAGCUCAGAAUACUCCCAGGUCAGCUCCUCAACAUUGGCUAGAUGGUACCCAUCGACGAUGGAGAAAAUACUUUCCUCCCCCACCUAUGGGCAGUUUUAUGAGAGAAACCUAUGGACAAUAGAAUCCACAGAUGGGCGUCCAAAUGAUUAUGCAUUGCCCGAUGGAGAGAAAACGACGAUGGGCCCAGAAUGACGCUUGGCAAACGUAACAUGCCUAGCAGAAUAUCUGGCAAUCCUCUGGCGCCCCUUGCUUGUUCUUCCUUUUGCCAUGAUCCAAAGGACUAGGAAUGAUUCAAGAGGUCAA
Molecule: long non-coding RNA, 777 nt
Organism: Macadamia integrifolia
Lineage: Eukaryota; Viridiplantae; Streptophyta; Magnoliopsida; Proteales; Proteaceae
Exons: 3
Source: RefSeq, a predicted model, not a curated record